This is a long non-coding RNA of Carassius auratus (goldfish), 1537 nucleotides long. RefSeq lists it as uncharacterized. The record is from RefSeq and is a predicted model, not a curated record. The transcript has 3 exons. NCBI's taxonomy places the organism in Eukaryota, Metazoa, Chordata, Actinopteri, Cypriniformes, Cyprinidae.
UUUCUUAUCUAUCACCGUCCAUCUAAUUUUAUUUAAUUAACAAACUAAUUAAAAUAUGCUUUCUUAAUAUCUUGUUGCAUACCAGAAAGUUAUUUUUCUAUAAGCACUGUAUGAAAAUAGCUCUUAAGUGUGUAGUUUGUAGCUGAUGUUAGGUUUCUGGAUUCAGCACGUGGUGCAGACUUUCUUUUUUUCUUUUUUUACUAAAAGUAUCAAAUAACGUUAAAAUGAAGCAUCGCAUAACAAGAGAGAACAGAAAACCCUUCAGUACCAUGAACUAAUGUAUAAAACCAGGGCCAUAAGACACGCCCGAUAAUUAGAAAUGGCCAAAUUGUCCCCUAGGAUUUUAAAUUCUUACUCUGCAUUCAGCUGUUGUUAGGGUGACAAAGUUUCAAAUGUAUAUUUUAGGUCUUCCUCAUUUAUAUUUAAUUUAUUGCUCGUCAUUGUUAAAAUGAUUGAGAUGCCAAUCAAAGCGCACAUCAGCCAAUCCAAGGCUUUAGAUUAGUCACGCUUGUUAAGUUCACGUGCUCGUGACUGAAUUCACAGCGUUCACGGAGUCUCUCGUCUUAAACAACAAAUAGUGUUUUAGCGACGUAAGUACUACAUUUCGCUGCUUCAGUAAUUGUAAGUGGAGUUUUUGCAUUUCUUCUGCUAGCUAGAUUAUGGUCAUGGACCGACAUUAUGUCUGUGUAGGCAGCUAAUAACGUUUUGUUUCUCCAAGCGCUUGUAUGUGUAAGUUAAUGUUAUUCUGUUACUUGCGAUUAAUAUAUCAAGAGGAAUAAUCGAAAAUGAGUUCUGUCAUAAAUAAGUUGUCACCCUGACCCUGUACUAAAUAUUUAGUUUUCUUUGUAGCAUUUUAACCUUUUUUGUCUUUGCUGAAUUGCCCAUAAACAAGACCUCUGUAACUUAUGUCUUCAGAUAAAUUAUGAAUUUCAUCGGAUCACAACCCUUCCUUUACACUCCAAAAUUCAUGUCCAAACUGGAUCUGUUCUUUGAUGAUCUGCUAAAAGCGUUUACCAAAAAGGGUGGAGUGUUUAGAAAAAAGAUUCAAGAUGUGAUGGUGCCAGUGUCUCAGACCAAGCAAGAGUGCAUUCUCAAUGAUCUAUGCAUCUACCUGAAUGAAGAUGAAUAUGAUGGAGUAUUUGGAUGAUGACCCUGCAAGAACCGAAGCGGACAUAAAGAAGACCUUUUAGGGAUUCUGUGAUGAAGGCAUGAAUUUGCUGAUGCAACAGAAGACCCUGAAGAUAUCUGCAUUGUGCUGGAAGAUGUGGAGGUGCUUUCUGGUUUAGGUAAUGUAGCAUUGGCUACAGCCAUGCUACUUGGACUAAUAUACUCUUUAAAUCUUACUCAUCCACAGGAGAUCCAUUACACUUUUAAGGUGCUCCAAAAAAUGAUUCUCGAGCUGAACUUGUGUAAAUUGUCUGACAAAGCACAGGCGCAGAAAACAAAACUCUUCACUUAGGUGUGCUGUGUUUGAGGAUCCCUUUGUGAAUGCUGUUUUAUUUCCUUGUAUGCUCAUGUGUUUUUGUUUUAUCUCAAU